GCAAACUGUAACACCCAUUAAACAACAAAAAAAUAAGUCUCCUGGUAGUUUUGGGAUUUUUUUUGUGAGACUAUUUUUAUGUUCUGACACCAGCUCUUGCUGUUUCAAUUGUUUCUUCAGGUGUUGAAAAACCCAAUCAAUGCCAACACGCUGAGCCCACCAAGAAGGCAGAGAGGAGCCUGUUCAAACACAAAGCACCUACAUAAGAUGUCUGCACAGAAUCAGAGGGCACUGCUGGCAUCUACAGUGCUUUUGGACCAGAGCAUGUUGUUGUUCACAAGCCAAAGAGGAUGGUGAAUCCACAAAACCAGACACAGGUAGGGAGGAUGCAUGGGAAGCAAGGAGGGGUGUGUGGGUGCGUGUUAAAAGUAAGCAGGGUGAAGCUAGAGAGAAGACACUUUUCCUAAAGGAGGAAGAAGAUUAUCUAUCCUUUGUUACAGUGUUUUUCUUUUGGUGUUUUUCUUUUUGCUGAGCAUGGCAGAGCAGAGAUUCAUUGUGAAAUCUAGCAGAAGAAGUGAUCUUGAUUUUGUUUGCUCAGUUUCUCAAGAACUCUUCUAAGACUAAGGUUAAAGACCACUAAACAAAUGCAAGCUCC
Corvus moneduloides (New Caledonian crow) is the source of this 595-nucleotide long non-coding RNA. The record is from Ensembl. NCBI's taxonomy places the organism in Eukaryota, Metazoa, Chordata, Aves, Passeriformes, Corvidae.